GCGUGCGGGAAGAAGGCCUUCGGGUGUAAACCGCUUUCAGGAGGGACGAAGCCACUCGGGUGAACAGCCCAGAGGGUGACGGUACCUCCAGAAGAAGCCCCGGCUAACUACGUGCCAGCAGCCGCGGUAAUACGUAGGGGGCUAGCCGUUGUCCGGAUUUAUUGGGCGUAAAGCGCGUGUAGGCGGCCAGAUAGGUCUGCUGUGAAAACUCGAGGCUCAACCUCGAGCUGUCGGCGGAAACCAUCUGGCUAGAGUCCGGAAGAGGAGAGUGGAAUUCCCGGUGUAGCGGUGAAAUGCGCAGAUAUCGGGAAGAACACCUGUGGCGAAGGCGGCUCUCUGGGACGGUACUGACGCUGAGACGCGAAAGCGUGGGGAGCAAACAGGAUUAGAUACCCUGGUAGUCCACGCCGUAAACGAUGGGUGCUAGGUGUGGGGAGUGUCGACUCUCUCCGUGCCGAAGCUAACGCAUUAAGCACCCCGCCUGGGGAGUACGGCCGCAAGGCUA
Molecule: ribosomal RNA, 505 nt
Filed under: uncultured Actinomycetes bacterium
Lineage: Bacteria; Bacillati; Actinomycetota; Actinomycetes
Description: bacterial SSU rRNA
Rfam family: Bacterial small subunit ribosomal RNA
Source: RNAcentral